ACUGGUAGAGGUGCAUGAUUUAUAAGUAUCUUAUUGGAGACAGAGGCAGUCUUUGAAAAUAGGAGAAAGGAAAGAAUGCCGAAAUUUCACAGAAGGUGUCUUAGCUGUGAAGUUGGGGGUACGGUUAAGAGCCGUAUCACUGUCAUCAAACGAUGGAGUGCUGCCUGA
RNAcentral lists this non-coding RNA (168 nucleotides) under chicken gut metagenome. RNAcentral's name for it is "Lysine riboswitch". It matches the Rfam family "Lysine riboswitch aptamer". Rfam says of the family: Riboswitches are metabolite binding domains within certain messenger RNAs that serve as precision sensors for their corresponding targets. Allosteric rearrangement of mRNA structure is mediated by ligand binding, and this results in modulation of gene expression. This family includes riboswitches that sense lysine in a number of genes involved in lysine metabolism, including lysC. The record is from RNAcentral.